GAUGAAGAACGUAGCGAAAUGCGAUAAGUAAUGUGAAUUGCAGAAUUCAGUGAAUCAUCGAAUCUUUGAACGCACAUUGCGCCCGCCAGUAUUCUGGCGGGCAUGCCUGUUCGAGCGUCAUUUCAACCAUCAAGCCCCCGGCUUGUGUUGGGGACCUGCGGCUGCCGCAGGCCCUGAAAAGCAGUGGCGGGCUCGCUGUCACACCGAGCGUAGUAGCAUACAUCUCGCUCUGGGCGUGCUGCGGGUUCCGGCCGUUAAAUCACCUUCAUAACCCAAGGUUGACCUCGGAUCAGGUAGGAAGACCCGCUGAACUUAAGCAUAUCAAUAAGCGGAGGA
Molecule: unclassified non-coding RNA, 336 nt
Filed under: soil metagenome
Description: partial contains 5.8S ribosomal RNA, internal transcribed spacer 2, and large subunit ribosomal RNA
Rfam family: 5.8S ribosomal RNA (bases 1-120)
Source: RNAcentral